AGCGAACGCUGGCGGCAGGCCUAACACAUGCAAGUCGAACGAACUCUUCGGAGUUAGUGGCGGACGGGUGAGUAACACGUGGGAACGUGCCUUUAGGUUCGGAAUAACUCAGGGAAACUUGUGCUAAUACCGAAUGUGCCCUUCGGGGGAAAGAUUUAUCGCCUUUAGAGCGGCCCGCGUCUGAUUAGCUAGUUGGUGAGGUAAAGGCUCACCAAGGCGACGAUCAGUAGCUGGUCUGAGAGGAUGAUCAGCCACAUUGGGACUGAGACACGGCCCAAACUCCUACGGGAGGCAGCAGGGGGGAAUCUGGCGCAAUGGGCGAAAGCCUGACGCAGCCAUGCCGCGUGAAUGAUGAAGGUCUUAGGAUUGUAAAAUUCUUUCACCGGGGACGAUAAUGACGGUACCCGGAGAAGAAGCCCCGGCUAACUUCGU
RNAcentral lists this ribosomal RNA (432 nucleotides) under uncultured bacterium. RNAcentral's name for it is "partial 16S ribosomal RNA". It matches the Rfam family "Bacterial small subunit ribosomal RNA", at positions 29 to 506 of the family's 1533-position model. The record is from RNAcentral.